UUUUGAAAUUUAAUAGGGACUGAUUUCAAAAUUGUAUUAAUGAUAAUAAAUUAAUUUUGAUUUAAAAAAAAUCAAAACAAGUUACAAAAUAAAAAUUAAACCCUAAUCUUUCUCUGCCUUCCCCUCUCUCGACAGAUCCCCAACCCAGACGGCACCACCAGUUUCCCAACCCAGACGGUGCCCCUCGUCGACUCCAAACCUAGACGGCGCCGAAGGGACAACUCCAAACCUCACCAUCUCCGCUUCGUCUUCUUUCUUCCUUGCCCACGCGACUGCAGAUCUGAGACCCCAUGAAAGAAACUCCAAGAUGGGUGGCGUUCGAGUUUGAUGAUGUUCUGGGUUUGACAAGCUAGGUGUUUGACUGGUUUUGGGUUCGAUGGGCUUGGUGUUCAAAUUAUUCUGGGUUUGUGGUUGACAAAGGGUGGGAUUCAUGGUUCGACGGGCUUGGUGUUCAAACAAAAAGGCGUUGGGAUUAUGGUUGCAGUGGCUUGAUGUUCAUAUCCUAGACCGGACCCCAAAAAUGGCGAAAGGGCCUCUCUGGCUUCUCAGUCUUGGUUACCGAUCAAAUUCCCCAAAUCCCUCCUUUUCCCUAUAUUGAAUGGAGCCCUAAUUUGUUUAUGACUCAUAUUGGGAGAAAUUUGUUUGCAAUCUGAUCAUUAUUGCUCAAAGAUACAUAAAUUUGAGCCCUAAUUUCGAUCGAUUUGGGUGAGAAUUUUCAAUUGUUGGACCUGAACUGGAACUUUGUAUUCUAUUUAGCAAUUCUAGGGUUUGAUUUUGAAUUUCGUGGGCGCGCUGUAUGAGUAGCACGUCAAAAUUUUAGGAUAGGGAUCGAUCGGGUUGCAAGGAGUAGAUUUUUUGGUUCAAAAUGUGUUUUAUUUAUUUUGGGUUUUGUAUACAUUUUUUAUGUGUUUUAAAUUGUUUUGAAUAUUACAUGUGUAAUAUAUUUCAAUUUUUUAGUUUAUUUUUUUAAUUGUGUUUGUAGAAUCAUUUGAACAUUUCAUGUAUUAACUUGUAAAUUAUCAUUUAGGUUUUUAUUUUAAUAAAAUACAAUUUUGUUUAUGUAA
Long non-coding RNA from Cannabis sativa, 1064 nucleotides. RefSeq lists it as uncharacterized. The transcript has 2 exons. NCBI's taxonomy places the organism in Eukaryota, Viridiplantae, Streptophyta, Magnoliopsida, Rosales, Cannabaceae. The record is from RefSeq and is a predicted model, not a curated record.